This 492-nucleotide ribosomal RNA is filed under the name uncultured bacterium. Its description in RNAcentral is "partial 16S ribosomal RNA". It matches the Rfam family "Bacterial small subunit ribosomal RNA", at positions 29 to 507 of the family's 1533-position model. The record is from RNAcentral.
AGUGAACGCUGGCGGUAGGCCUAACACAUGCAAGUCGAACGGCAGCACAGUAAGAGCUUGCUCUUACGGGUGGCGCGUGGCUGACGGGUGAGGAAUACAUCGGAAUCUACUUUUUCGUGGGGGAUAACGUAGGGAAACUUACGCUAAUACCGCAUACGACCUACGGGUGAAAGCAGGGGAUCUUCGGACCUUGCGCGAUUGAAUGAGCCGAUGUCGGAUUAGCUAGUUGGCGGGGUAAAGGCCCACCAAGGCGACGAUCCGUAGCUGGUCUGAGAGGAUGAUCAGCGACACUGGAACUGAGACACGGUCCAGACUCCUACGGGAGGCAGCAGUGGGGAAUAUUGGACAAUGGGCGCAAGCCUGAUCCAGCCAUACCGCGUGGGUGAAGAAGGCCUUCGGGUUGUAAAGCCCUUUUGUUGGGAAAGAAAAGCAGCAGGUUAAUACCCCGCUGUUCUGACGGUACCCAAAGAAUAAGCACCGGCUAACUUCGUG